This is a long non-coding RNA of Myotis daubentonii (Daubenton's bat), 667 nucleotides long. RefSeq lists it as uncharacterized. NCBI's taxonomy places the organism in Eukaryota, Metazoa, Chordata, Mammalia, Chiroptera, Vespertilionidae. The record is from RefSeq and is a predicted model, not a curated record.
GCCCGGCUGUGGGAGCCUUGAGCUCGCUGUGCGCACCCCGCGUUCUCAGAGGCGGCCCGCGCCUGUCCUGGGCCCAGAUGGACCCGAAUGCCUUUCCGCCCGUUUUCCUCCUGCAGAAGCGAUGGGAGCGCCCGGCCGGUGGAGGAGGAGCUGAAGCUGGGACAGCUGUCAGCGCCCCGGCCCGAGCCCUGCGCCCCGGGCGCAUCGUCCCCCUGUUGACUGGGCCGCCUCCGCCCCAAGGGUCCCGGGACUGAAGGAGCCGCGCAGCAGGCACCGUGGCUGGCGCAUCCGAAGGGCCAAGGCUGCUGGGCACUGUCGGUGGGCAGGGACCUGGGUGCCUGCAGGCCCAGGCGGGGGAUGGGGCCCUCGUGCGCCGAGAACUGUUAGAAGGCAACGCGCCAGGGCCGCCCGAGAACAGACGUCUCCAGGAGUAUUUACUGUGCUUUCAUGAGGAGAAUUUCCAGGCUGCCCCUUGAAGCAAUGACGUUGGAUUUGGAGCAAAUGGAAACAUUGUGAAAUUGCUUAUUUUCUUCCAAAAUCUGUAUUUUCUUCCUUGCUUCCUGUUCAGUCAGGCCCACUCAUUAGCAACCAUGUCUUUGCGUUAUGCUCAGCAGAAGUUUUGCUCCGUGACCAUAUUCCAAAUUAAACUUUUAUGUUUCCAGGAAAA